RNAcentral lists this transfer RNA (536 nucleotides) under uncultured cyanobacterium. RNAcentral describes it as "partial 16S-23S intergenic spacer". The stretch from base 207 to 279 matches the Rfam family "tRNA". Lineage: Bacteria; Bacillati; Cyanobacteriota. The record is from RNAcentral.
AGACAACAAAAUGUUUAAUAUUAUUAUUUUGUCACCUUAGGUCGAUCGGUAUCACACGUUUUUAAUUUAUUAAAAAUUUCAUUUCCUAAGUUUUUCUAGGUCACACCCAUUAUUUUUCCUGGGCCAUUAGCUCAGGUGGUUAGAGCGCACCCCUGAUAAGGGUGAGGUCCCUGGUUCAAGUCCAGGAUGGCCCAUAUCUCUAUGUUGGGGGUAUAGCUCAGUUGGUAGAGCGCCUGCUUUGCAAGCAGGAUGUCAGCGGUUCGAGUCCGCUUACCUCCACUGAUCACCACCUCUUCCAUAACCGGUAGAAAGGAAAUUUUUUGAGUUGUGAUCAAAUCCUGAAAGAAUCUAGCUUCCUAAUGAAAUCAUUAAGAUGCUGGACUCAUUGAAUUAAAUUCAUUGUUUUCAGAGAACCUUGACAACUGCAUAGAUUAUUUUUAAAGACAAUAAGCAUCUUUAAUGAUGCAGAUUUAUUAUUUGUGCAAAUGCAUUAAUAACAAUUCUAUUAAGCUGAUGCUUCAAUAUUUGAAGUUAUU